Molecule: long non-coding RNA, 934 nt
Filed under: Marmota monax (woodchuck)
Lineage: Eukaryota; Metazoa; Chordata; Mammalia; Rodentia; Sciuridae
Source: RNAcentral
CCCAUCCUAACCUUUCUACAUGAUGUAUUAGGUAACUCCACCUGUUUCCUGGUGGUUACACCAAGCCCUAAUGUGUCACAUUGAAUCUACUUUCCCCAUCUCUAAUGACACACACAGCCAGAGAUUGGGCACUCAUUACCUCCUCUCCUCUUCACUUCUGUGAUCAAGCCCAGAGCCCACCUCCCCUGUCUUUGCAUCUGCCCCUGUUCACCAUCCUACUUCCUGAGCCAAGUUCACAUCUCCACAGUGGCUCGGCCCUUUUGCUUACCUUCCUCUCUCAAAUCUACCCUCCACAGGGAGAUUGGUGAUCUAUGCAUAACCCUCCCUCUCCCGUGUCUUUGUCAAUUUCAUUCAUAUCCUUGAAUUUCACUCAAGGCCCUUCCUCAUCUGAUCCCUGUCCCUCCCAAGCAGUAUUAUUUCCCUCCUCCUCCAACAGACCCUUCCCUUCCAGCCUGGUCACAGGACUGGCUCCCUGGAGCCCCAUCUGUUUUCUGGACCUCCUGUCCUGUUCAUGCUGGUUCCUCUUCCCCCAUUUCUCGUGUGUGGUGUCAAUUUCCUCUGCUUUGUGCUGGUGCAAAGCCCUCCCCGAAUCUGCACUGAAACUUAAGGUAUUCUGCGUCCCAGACCCAACCCUCAUGCCCGUGCUACUGGAUCACAGAGAAUUCCACCCCAACUAGUGUGCCUCCCGCAGGAGGACUGUUACAAACAGUGGGCUCUCCCAGGCUUUAAGCCAGACCCAUGACAGUGGUACCCUCAGUCAGUGCUCCCCCUACCAGGGAACUUAUCACCCUGUGGUGAUAGCAGGUAUUUCCCUUAGGGGAGGCUCAACACUGAGACUGGCAUUUAUUCCUUCGCAUUAGUGCUUCUCUUGAUUCCCAAAAUGCUCUUACACCUGACUGUUUUUUCAAAUGCCACAAACAUAGCCAACUUCCUG